Molecule: ribosomal RNA, 533 nt
Filed under: uncultured Alphaproteobacteria bacterium
Lineage: Bacteria; Pseudomonadati; Pseudomonadota; Alphaproteobacteria
Description: bacterial SSU rRNA
Rfam family: Bacterial small subunit ribosomal RNA
Source: RNAcentral
CCAUAUGGUCGACCUGCAGGCGGCCGCGAAUUCACUAGUGAUUAGAGUUUGAUCAUGGCUCAGAACGAACGCUGGCGGCAUGCCUAACACAUGCAAGUCGAACGAAGGCUUCGGCCUUAGUGGCGCACGGGUGCGUAACGCGUGGGAAUCUGCCCCUUGGUUCGGAAUAACAGUUAGAAAUGACUGCUAAUACCGGAUGACGACGUAAGUCCAAAGAUUUAUCGCCUGAGGAUGAGCCCGCGUAGGAUUAGCUAGUUGGUGUGGUAAAGGCGCACCAAGGCGACGAUCCUUAGCUGGUCUGAGAGGAUGAUCAGCCACACUGGGACUGAGACACGGCCCAGACUCCUACGGGAGGCAGCAGUGGGGAAUAUUGGACAAUGGGCGAAAGCCUGAUCCAGCAAUGCCGCGUGAGUGAUGAGGCCUUAGGGUCGUAAAGCUCUUUUACCCGGGAUGAUAAUGACAGUACCGGGAGAAUAAGCUCCGGCUAACUCCGUGCCAGCAGCCGCGGUAAUACGAAUCGAAUUCCCGCGGCC